This 501-nucleotide ribosomal RNA is filed under the name uncultured bacterium. RNAcentral's name for it is "partial 16S ribosomal RNA". It matches the Rfam family "Bacterial small subunit ribosomal RNA", at positions 30 to 523 of the family's 1533-position model. The record is from RNAcentral.
AUUGAACGCUGGCGGCAUGCCUUACACAUGCAAGUCGAACGGCAGCACGGGUGCUUGCACCUGGUGGCGAGUGGCGAACGGGUGAGUAAUACAUCGGAACGUACCUUAUCGUGGGGGGUAACGCAGCGAAAAUUGCGCUAAUACCGCAUACGCCCUGAGGGGGAAAGCGGGGGACCGUAAGGCCUCGCGCGAUUAGAGCGGCCGAUGUCUGAUUAGCUUGUUGGUGAGGUAAAAGCUCACCAAGGCGAUGAUCAGUAGCUGGUCUGAGAGGACGAUCAGCCACACUGGGACUGAGACACGGCCCAGACUCCUACGGGAGGCAGCAGUGGGGAAUUUUGGACAAUGGGGGCAACCCUGAUCCAGCAAUGCCGCGUGGGUGAAGAAGGCCUUCGGGUUGUAAAGCUCUUUUGUCAGGGAAGAAACAGCAGCUCUAACACAGUCUGCGAAUGACGGUACCUGAAGAAUAAGCACCGGCUAACUACGUGCCAGCAGCCGCAGUAA